This 491-nucleotide ribosomal RNA is filed under the name uncultured bacterium. RNAcentral's name for it is "partial 16S ribosomal RNA". It matches the Rfam family "Bacterial small subunit ribosomal RNA", at positions 28 to 507 of the family's 1533-position model. The record is from RNAcentral.
GAUGAACGCUAGCUGCAGGCUUAACACAUGCAAGUCGCGGGGCAGCAUGGGGGUUGCUUGCAACCCCUGAUGGCGACCGGCGCACGGGUGAGUAACGCGUAUCCAACCUGCCCUUCACCACGGGAUAACCCGGCGAAAGUCGGACUAAUACCGUAUGUUGUCCAUUGACGGCAUCCGAUUUGGACGCAAGGUUUGGCGGUGAAAGGAUGGGGAUGCGUCCGACUGGCUUGACGGCGGGGUAACGGCCAACCGUGGCUACGAUCGGGAGGGGAUCUGAGAGGAAGGUCCCCCACACUGGAACUGAGACACAGUCCAGACUCCUACGGAGGGCAGCAGUGAGGAAUAUUGGUCAAGGGGCGUAAGCCUGAACCAGCCAAGUAGCGGGCAGGAUGACGGCGCUAUGAGUUGUAAGCUGCUUUUAAGCGGGGAUAAAGUGGCCCACGUGUGGGCUUUUGCAGGUACCGAAUGAAUAAGAACCGGCUAAUUCCGUG